This 116-nucleotide small RNA is filed under the name Marmota monax (woodchuck). The record is from RNAcentral. Lineage: Eukaryota; Metazoa; Chordata; Mammalia; Rodentia; Sciuridae.
GCUGGGCACGGUGGUGAAAGCCUGUAGUCCCAGGUCCUCUGGGGGCAGAGGCAGGAGGAUCUCUUGAGCCAGGAGUUCUAGGCCAGCCUGAGCAACAUAGUGAGACCCUGGCUCUA